RNAcentral lists this ribosomal RNA (396 nucleotides) under uncultured Eubacteriales bacterium. Its description in RNAcentral is "bacterial SSU rRNA". It matches the Rfam family "Bacterial small subunit ribosomal RNA", at positions 382 to 794 of the family's 1533-position model. The record is from RNAcentral. Lineage: Bacteria; Bacillati; Bacillota; Clostridia; Eubacteriales.
CCUGAUGCAGCACGCCGCGUGAGUGAUGAAGGCCUUCGGGUCGUAAAACUCUGUCCUAUGGGAAGAAAAAAAUGACGGUACCAUAGGAGGAAGCCCCGGCUAACUACGUGCCAGCAGCCGCGGUAAUACGUAGGGGGCAAGCGUUAUCCGGAAUCACUGGGCGUAAAGGGUGCGUAGGUGGCUGAUCAAGCCAGGGGUGAAAGGCAUUGGCUCAACCAAUGUAAGCCUUUGGAACUGAUCGGCUUGAGUGCAGGAGAGGUAAGUGGAAUUCCUAGUGUAGAGGUGAAAUUCGUAGAUAUUAGGAGGAACACCAGUGGCGAAGGCGACUUACUGGACUGUAACUGACACUGAGGCACGAAAGCGUGGGGAGCGAACAGGAUUAGAUACCCUGGUAGA